This 2719-nucleotide ribosomal RNA is filed under the name Salmonella enterica subsp. enterica serovar Weltevreden. RNAcentral describes it as "bacterial LSU rRNA". It matches the Rfam family "Bacterial large subunit ribosomal RNA". The record is from RNAcentral. Lineage: Bacteria; Pseudomonadati; Pseudomonadota; Gammaproteobacteria; Enterobacterales; Enterobacteriaceae.
CGAAUGGGGAAACCCAGUGUGAUUCGUCACACUAUCAUUAACUGAAUCCAUAGGUUAAUGAGGCGAACCGGGGGAACUGAAACAUCUAAGUACCCCGAGGAAAAGAAAUCAACCGAGAUUCCCCCAGUAGCGGCGAGCGAACGGGGAGGAGCCCAGAGCCUGAAUCAGCAUGUGUGUUAGUGGAAGCGUCUGGAAAGGCGCGCGAUACAGGGUGACAGCCCCGUACACAAAAGCGCAUGUGCUGUGAGCUCGAUGAGUAGGGCGGGACACGUGGUAUCCUGUCUGAAUAUGGGGGGACCAUCCUCCAAGGCUAAAUACUCCUGACUGACCGAUAGUGAACCAGUACCGUGAGGGAAAGGCGAAAAGAACCCCGGCGAGGGGAGUGAAAAAGAACCUGAAACCGUGUACGUACAAGCAGUGGGAGCNNNAUAGGGGAGCCGGAGGGAAACCGAGUCUUAAUUGGGCGUUAAGUUGCAGGGUAUAGACCCGAAACCCGGUGAUCUAGCCAUGGGCAGGUUGAAGGUUGGGUAACACUAACUGGAGGACCGAACCGACUAAUGUUGAAAAAUUAGCGGAUGACCUGUGGCUGGGGGUGAAAGGCCAAUCAAACCGGGAGAUAGCUGGUUCUCCCCGAAAGCUAUUUAGGUAGCGCCUCGUGAAUUCAUCUCCGGGGGUAGAGCACUGUUUCGGCUAGGGGGCCAUCCCGGCUUACCAACCCGAUGCAAACUGCGAAUACCGGAGAAUGUUAUCACGGGAGACACACGGCGGGUGCUAACGUCCGUCGUGAAGAGGGAAACAACCCAGACCGCCAGCUAAGGUCCCAAAGUCAUGGUUAAGUGGGAAACGAUGUGGGAAGGCCCAGACAGCCAGGAUGUUGGCUUAGAAGCAGCCAUCAUUUAAAGAAAGCGUAAUAGCUCACUGGUCGAGUCGGCCUGCGCGGAAGAUGUAACGGGGCUAAACCAUGCACCGAAGCUGCGGCAGCGACGCUUAUGCGUUGUUGGGUAGGGGAGCGUUCUGUAAGCCUGUGAAGGUGGCCUGUGAGGGUUGCUGGAGGUAUCAGAAGUGCGAAUGCUGACAUAAGUAACGAUAAAGCGGGUGAAAAGCCCGCUCGCCGGAAGACCAAGGGUUCCUGUCCAACGUUAAUCGGGGCAGGGUGAGUCGACCCCUAAGGCGAGGCCGAAAGGCGUAGUCGAUGGGAAACGGGUUAAUAUUCCCGUACUUGGUGUUACUGCGAAGGGGGGACGGAGAAGGCUAUGUUGGCCGGGCGACGGUUGUCCCGGUUUAAGCGUGUAGGUGUGUGUUCCAGGUAAAUCCGGUUCACUUUAACACUGAGGCGUGACGACGAGGCACUACGGUGCUGAAGCAACAAAUGCCCUGCUUCCAGGAAAAGCCUCUAAGCAUCAGGUAACAUCAAAUCGUACCCCAAACCGACACAGGUGGUCAGGUAGAGAAUACCAAGGCGCUUGAGAGAACUCGGGUGAAGGAACUAGGCAAAAUGGUGCCGUAACUUCGGGAGAAGGCACGCUGACANGUAGGUGAAGUGAUUUACUCAUGGAGCUGAAGUCAGUCGAAGAUACCAGCUGGCUGCAACUGUUUAUUAAAAACACAGCACUGUGCAAACACGAAAGUGGACGUAUACGGUGUGACGCCUGCCCGGUGCCGGAAGGUUAAUUGAUGGGGUCAGCGCAAGCGAAGCUCCUGAUCGAAGCCCCGGUAAACGGCGGCCGUAACUAUAACGGUCCUAAGGUAGCGAAAUUCCUUGUCGGGUAAGUUCCGACCUGCACGAAUGGCGUAAUGAUGGCCAGGCUGUCUCCACCCGAGACUCAGUGAAAUUGAACUCGCUGUGAAGAUGCAGUGUACCCGCGGCAAGACGGAAAGACCCCGUGAACCUUUACUAUAGCUUGACACUGAACAUUGAGCCUUGAUGUGUAGGAUAGGUGGGAGGCUUUGAAGCGUGGACGCCAGUCUGCGUGGAGCCGACCUUGAAAUACCACCCUUUAAUGUUUGAUGUUCUAACGUGGACCCGUAAUCCGGGUUGCGGACAGUGUCUGGUGGGUAGUUUGACUGGGGCGGUCUCCUCCUAAAGAGUAACGGAGGAGCACGAAGGUUGGCUAAUCCUGGUCGGACAUCAGGAGGUUAGUGCAAUGGCAUAAGCCAGCUUGACUGCGAGCGUGACGGCGCGAGCAGGUGCGAAAGCAGGUCAUAGUGAUCCGGUGGUUCUGAAUGGAAGGGCCAUCGCUCAACGGAUAAAAGGUACUCCGGGGAUAACAGGCUGAUACCGCCCAAGAGUUCAUAUCGACGGCGGUGUUUGGCACCUCGAUGUCGGCUCAUCACAUCCUGGGGCUGAAGUAGGUCCCAAGGGUAUGGCUGUUCGCCAUUUAAAGUGGUACGCGAGCUGGGUUUAGAACGUCGUGAGACAGUUCGGUCCCUAUCUGCCGUGGGCGCUGGAGAACUGAGGGGGGCUGCUCCUAGUACGAGAGGACCGGAGUGGACGCAUCACUGGUGUUCGGGUUGUCAUGCCAAUGGCACUGCCCGGUAGCUAAAUGCGGAAGAGAUAAGUGCUGAAAGCAUCUAAGCACGAAACUUGCCCCGAGAUGAGUUCUCCCUGAGACUUAGAGUCUCCUGAAGGAACGUUGAAGACGACGACGUUGAUAGGCCGGGUGUGUAAGCGCAGCGAUGCGUUGAGCUAACCGGUACUAAUGAACCGUGAGGCUUAACC